AAGACCUCGCGCUAUUAGAGCGGCCGAUGCCCGAUUAGCUAGUUGGUGAGGUAAAAGCCCACCAAGGCAACGAUCGGUAGCUGGUCUGAGAGGAUGAUCAGCCACACUGGGACUGAGACACGGCCCAGACUCCUACGGGAGGCAGCAGUGGGGAAUUUUGGACAAUGGGCGAAAGCCUGAUCCAGCCAUGCCGCGUGAGUGAAGAAGGCCUUCGGGUUGUAAAGCUCUUUCAGCCGGAACGAAAUCGUCCGGGCUAAUACUCCGGAUGGAUGACGGUACUGGAAGAAGAAGCACCGGCUAACUACGUGCCAGCAGCCGCGGUAAUACGUAGGGUGCAGGCGUUAAUCGGAAUUACUGGGCGUAAAGCGUGCGCAGGCGGCAUUUCAAGUCAGAUGUGAAAUCCCCGGGCUUAACCUGGGAACU
Molecule: ribosomal RNA, 423 nt
Filed under: uncultured bacterium
Lineage: Bacteria
Description: bacterial SSU rRNA
Rfam family: Bacterial small subunit ribosomal RNA
Source: RNAcentral